AUGAACGUGGCGCUGCUAUCAAAAUGGUGGUGGAAGCUAGCGGCUAAGGAAGAGGGUCUGUGGGCAGACCUUCUGCGGGCCAAAUACCUCCCGGACGGGGAUGUAUUUAACGCCAAGGCUUCGGGCUCGCCGUUUUGGAAUGGGAUCCAGGCGGUUAGACCAGCCUUCUCGCUGGGGGCGAGAUUUGAGGUGAAUAGCGGCAACUCGACUAGGUUCUGGUUGGAUCGCUGGUUGGGUGACAAGCCGCUUUGGCCGGAGUUCCCGCAGUUAUAUCAGGUGACGGCGGACCCGCUACUUAGGGUGGGAGAGGCUCUUCGCGCUACGCCGCCUUUGAUUAACUUUCGGAGACAGUUGAAUGCGGCGGAAUUAGCAAGUUGGGGCUUGCUUCAGGCGCGGCUGGAACAAAUUUCGGUAAAUCAUGAUGAAGGUACGGUUUCUUGGGACCUCUCCGUGUCUCGGAAAUUCUCAGUGAAGUCCCUUUACAAUAAACUGACAGAGGGCACUGCGUUGGAUACUGUCAGGAACCUUUGGAAGGCUAGGGUGCCGUUAAAGAUUAAGAUCUUUAUGAGGCAGUUAUUUCGCAAUAGGCUUCCGACGGCGGAGAACGUAGCUAAACGGAAUGGGCCUUCGGACGGGACGUGCGUGGUAUGUGAAUCGCUAGAGGACGCGAACCACGCCAUGUUCCAAUGCGUUCUGGCCCGCUUUGCCUGGAGCGCGGUGCGACAGGUUUUCCAACAGAAUUGGAAUCCUAGCACUGGGUCUGAGCUGCUGGCUAUUUUACAGGCACAGAGGGGUGCCAAGGCCAGGAUCUUGUGGACCUGCGUAGGGGCCUUACUCUGGUCCCUUUGGACUGUGCGUAAUAAAAUGACUAUGGAACAUAAGUUUCCUUCCAAUCCUACUGAUGUUAUCUUCAAAUGCCAUUUAUUUUUACAGAGUUGGGCACCGCUGGGGAAGCAAGGUGAUGCAGACCAUUUGAAGAGCACUAUGGAGAAGAUCGCUACAUGUAUCCCAAGGCUGCGGCAAGCGAAUUGA
This 1032-nucleotide ribosomal RNA is filed under the name Triticum aestivum (bread wheat). Its description in RNAcentral is "partial small subunit ribosomal RNA". The record is from RNAcentral. Lineage: Eukaryota; Viridiplantae; Streptophyta; Magnoliopsida; Poales; Poaceae.